This 301-nucleotide ribosomal RNA is filed under the name uncultured bacterium. RNAcentral describes it as "partial 16S ribosomal RNA". It matches the Rfam family "Bacterial small subunit ribosomal RNA", at positions 509 to 809 of the family's 1533-position model. The record is from RNAcentral.
CAGCCGCCGCGGUAAUACGAGGGGGGCAAGCGUUGUUCGGAAUUAUUGGGCGUAAAGGGUGCGUAGGCGGUUUCGUAAGUCUGAUGUGAAAUCUAUGGGCUCAACUCAUAGUCUGCAUCGGAAACUGCGAGGCUUGAGAGUGGGAGAGGUGAGUGGAAUUUCCGGUGUAGCGGUGAAAUGCGUAGAUAUCGGAAGGAACACCUGUGGCGAAAGCGGCUCACUGGACCAUUUCUGACGCUGAUGCACGAAAGCUAGGGGAGCAAACAGGAUUAGAUACCCCUGUAGUCCCUGUCUCUUAUAU